GACGAACGCUGGCGGCGUGCUUAACACAUGCAAGUCGAACGGAAAGGCCCUGCUUUUGUGGGGUGCUCGAGUGGCGAACGGGUGAGUAACACGUGAGUAACCUGCCCUUGACUUGGGGAUAACUUCAGGAAACUGGGGCUAAUACCGGAUAGGAGCUCCUGCUGCAUGGUGGGGGUUGGAAGGUUUCGGCGGUUGGGGAUGGACUCGCGGCUUAUCAGCUUGUUGGUGGGGUAGUGGCUUACCAAGGCUUUGACGGGUAGCCGGCCUGAGAGGGUGACCGGCCAAAUUGGGACUGGGAUCACGCCCAGACUCCUAAGGGAGGCAGCAGUGGGGAAUAUUGCAAAAUGGGCGGAAGCCUGAUGCAGCAAAGCCGCGUGCGGGAUGACGGCCUUCGGGUUGUAAACCGCUUUCGCAUGUGACGAAGAGUGAGUGACGGUAAUGGGUAAAGAAGCAACGGCUAACUACGUG
Molecule: ribosomal RNA, 468 nt
Filed under: uncultured bacterium
Lineage: Bacteria
Description: partial 16S ribosomal RNA
Rfam family: Bacterial small subunit ribosomal RNA
Source: RNAcentral